GACGUAGGGCGCGAGCGUUGUCCGGAUUUAUUGGGCGUAAAGAGCUCGUAGGCGGCUUGUCGCGUCGACCGUGAAAACUCGCAGCUCAACUGCGAGCCUGCGGUCGAUACGGGCAGGCUAGAGUUCGGUAGGGGAGACUGGAAUUCCUGGUGUAGCGGUGAAAUACGCAGAUAUCAGGAGGAACACCGAUGGCGAAGGCAGGUCUCUGGGCCGAUACUGACGCUGAGGAGCGAAAGCGUGGGGAGCGAACAGG
Molecule: ribosomal RNA, 253 nt
Filed under: uncultured bacterium
Lineage: Bacteria
Description: partial 16S ribosomal RNA
Rfam family: Bacterial small subunit ribosomal RNA
Source: RNAcentral